CCUACGGGAGGCAGCAGUGGGGAAUAUUGGACAAUGGGCGCAAGCCUGAUCCAGCCAUGCCGCGUGUGUGAAGAAGGCCUUCGGGUUGUAAAGCACUUUUAUCCGGAAAGAAAAGCUUUGGGUUAAUACCCUGAAGUCAUGACGGUACCGGAAGAAUAAGCACCGGCUAACUUCGUGCCAGCAGCCGCGGUAAUACGAAGGGUGCAAGCGUUACUCGGAAUUACUGGGCGUAAAGCGUGCGUAGGUGGUUUGUUAAGUCUGAUGUGAAAGCCCUAGGCUCAACCUGGGAAUUGCAUUGGAUACUGGCAGGCUAGAGUGCGGUAGAGGAUAGUGGAAUUCCCGGUGUAGCAGUGAAAUGCGUAGAGAUCGGGAGGAACAUCUGUGGCGAAGGCGACUAUCUGGGCCAGCACUGACACUGAGGCACGAAAGCGUGGGGAGCAAACAGGAUUAGAUACCCUGGUAGUCCACGCCCUAAACGAUGCGAACUGGAUGUUGGGUGCAACUAGGCACUCAGUAUCGAAGCUAACGCGUUAAGUUCGCCGCCUGGGGAGUACGGUCGCAGACUGAAACUUAAAGGAAUUGACGG
Molecule: ribosomal RNA, 586 nt
Filed under: uncultured bacterium
Lineage: Bacteria
Description: bacterial SSU rRNA
Rfam family: Bacterial small subunit ribosomal RNA
Source: RNAcentral